CCGUGCUAGGCGGGGAGGUAGCGGUGCCCUGCACCCGCAAUCCGCUCUAGCGGGGCUGAACGCCCGCCCGAGGAUCAGUGCCUUUCGGGGCCAGUACGUCAAGGGCAGCGUUGAUGGUCAGGUCCCGUGCGAUGCACGCCCGUGAAACAGGUCAGGUCCGGAAGGAAGCAGCCUUAAGCGGUAGUGGGCAAGCGACACGGAAAGGCCUGACCGGAGCCAGCCACGACGGGAACGCCCGGGGACACCUUUCGAAGGUGGGCCCGCACGG
This 268-nucleotide signal recognition particle RNA is filed under the name Actinomycetota bacterium. RNAcentral describes it as "signal recognition particle sRNA large type". It matches the Rfam family "Bacterial large signal recognition particle RNA". Rfam says of the family: The signal recognition particle (SRP) is a universally conserved ribonucleoprotein involved in the co-translational targeting of proteins to membranes. Archaeal SRP consists of a 7S RNA and homologues of the eukaryotic SRP19 and SRP54 proteins. The record is from RNAcentral. Lineage: Bacteria; Bacillati; Actinomycetota.